Molecule: ribosomal RNA, 301 nt
Filed under: uncultured bacterium
Lineage: Bacteria
Description: partial 16S ribosomal RNA
Rfam family: Bacterial small subunit ribosomal RNA
Source: RNAcentral
CAGUAGCCGCGGGAAUACGUAGGUCCCGAGCGUUGUCCGGAUUUAUUGGGCGCAAAGGGAGCGCAGGCGGUUUAGUAAGUCUGAAGUUAAAGGCAUUGGCUCAACCAAUGUAUGCUUUGGAAACUGUUAGACUUGAGUGCGGAAGGGGAGAGUGGAAUUCCAUGUGUAGCGGUGAAAUGCGUAGAUAUAUGGAGGAACACCGGUGGCGAAAGCGGCUCUCUGGUCUGUCACUGACGCUGAGGCUCGAAAGCGUGGGUAGCGAACAGGAUUAGAUACCCCAGUAGUCCCUGUCUCUUAUACA